GGCAACAAGGGCAAAACUCCAUCUCAAAAAAGAAAGAAAAAAGAAAAAGAAAAUUAUCUUUGAUGGGUCAAAGACUUAAACAUAAAACUCAAAACUAUAUAAACCCUGGAAGACAACCUAAGCAAUACCAUCCUGGACAUAGGAAAGAGCAAAGAAUUCUUGACCAAGACACCAAAGUAAUGGCAACAAAAGCAAAAAUUAACAAGUGAGAUCUAAUUAAACUUAAGAGCUUCUGCACAGUAAAAGAAACUGUCAACAGAGGAUGGGUACGGUGGCUCACGCCUGUAAUCCCAGCACUUUGGGAGGUCGAGGCGGGUGGAUCACAAGGUCAGGAGAUGGAGACCAUCCUGGCUAACACGGUGAAACCCCGUCUCUACUGAAAAUACAAAAUAUUAGUCGGGUGUGGUGGCGCCUGUAGUCCCAGCUACUCGGGAGACUGAGGCAGGAGAGUGGCAUGAACCUGGGAGGCGGAGCUUGCAGUGAGCCAAGAUAGUGCCACUGCACUCCAGCCUGGGCGACUGAGCGAGACUCCGUCUCAAAAAAAAACAAAAAAAGAAAAGAAACUGUCAAGACAACCUACAGAAAAUAUUUGCAAACUAUGCAUCCAUAUUCAUCAGGGUUCUCUGGAGGGACAGAACUAUAGGAUAGAUGAAUAUAUAAAGAGUUUAUUAAGGAGUAGUGACUCACACGAUCACAAAGUGAGGUCCCACAAUAGGCUGUCUGCAAACUGAGGAGCAAGGAAGCCAGUCCGAGUCCCUAAGCUGAAGAACUUGGAGUCUGAUGUUCGCGGGCAGGAAGCAUCCAGCACGGGAGAAAAUUGUAGGCCAGAAGACUAAUCUACUCUUCUGCCUGCUUUUAUUCUGGCCGCACUGGCAGCUGAUUAGAUGGUGUCCACCCAGAUUGAGGGUGGGUCUGCCUUUCCCAGUACACUGACUCAAAUGUUAUCUCCUUCGGCAACACCCUCACAAACACACCUAGAAACAAUACUUUGCGUCCUUAAAUCCAAUCAAGUUGACACUUAAUAUUAACUAUCACAGUACCUGACAAAGGUCUAAUAUUCAGCACGGAUAAGGAACUUAAACGAAUUUACAAGAGAAAAACAACUCCAUUAAAACGUGAACAAAGGACGUAAGUAGACACUUUUCAAAAGACAUACAUGUGGCCUGGCAUGGUAGUUCACACCUAUAAUGGCAACACUUAGGGAGGCCAAGGCGGGCAGAUCACCUGAGGUCAGGAGUUUGAGACAGGGUCGGCCAACAUGGUGAAAGUCUGUCUCUAACAAAAAUGCAAAAAUAAACUGGGCAUGGUGGCGGGCACCUGUAAUCCCAGCUACUUGGUAGGCUGAGGCAGAGAAUUGCUUGAACCCAGGAGGCGGAGGUAGCAGGGAGCUGAGUUCUGCCUUUGGGCAACUCCAGUCAACAGAGCGAGACUCCAUCUCAGAAAAAAAAAAAAAA
This 1454-nucleotide long non-coding RNA is filed under the name Macaca fascicularis (crab-eating macaque). RNAcentral's name for it is "lncRNA (ENSMFAG00000054670.1)". Lineage: Eukaryota; Metazoa; Chordata; Mammalia; Primates; Cercopithecidae. The record is from RNAcentral.